AAGCGGGAAUUGCCUUGACGGGAGCUCAGGUGAGGUGGAGAAUGCCGGGUGUUCCUCCAGCGAUUCCGACUACGACGAGGAUGAGCCGCGCAAGUUUUACGUGCACAUCAAACCGGUGCAGCCGCGGGAAGCGGCCGGCAGCGCCGAGGCCGCCGUGGAGCAGCUCAAGGCCACCGUGGGAAAUCUCAUCCUGGCCCCCGGUGUCGGGGGCACCGUCAGGAGGCAGGCGUCACGUAAGUGGCACCGGGGAGGUGGCAGCGAGGCUUGGGGACAUCACAGCAUUCCCGAGCUCCUUUCCUUGGGGACAUCACAGCAUUCCCGAGCUCCUUGGGGACAUCGUGUCCUUCCUCAGCCUCAUUCCUUGGGAAUAUCACAGCAUUCCCGAGCUCCUUUCCUUGGGGACAUCACAGAAUUCCCAAGCUCCGUUCCUUGGGGACAUCACAGAAUUCCCGAGCUCUGUUCCUUGGGGACAUCACAGAAUUCCCAAGCUCCAUUCCUUGGGGACAUCACAGAAUUCCCGAGCUCCAUUCUUUGGGGACAUCACAUCAUUCCUGAGCCUCAUUCCUUGGGGACAAUGCCACCCUUCUUGAGAGCCACUCCUUGGGGACAUCACAGAAUUCCUGAGCUCCAUUCCUUGGGGACAGUGCCAUCCUCCCUUAGACCAAAUCCCUGGGGACAUCACAUCCUCCCUGAACCCCCUUGGUGACAGUGCCACCCUUCCUGACCCCCUUUAGGGACAGUGCCACCCUCCCUGAGCCCUCCUGGGGACAGUGCUACCCUUCCUGACCCCCUUUGGUGACAGUGCCACCCUCCCUGAGCCCCCUUGGUGACAGUGCCACCCUCCCUGACCCCCUUUGGUGACAGUGCCACCCUCCCUGAGCCCCCUUGGGGACAGUGCCACCCUCCCUGAGCCCCCUUUGGGACAGUGCCACCCUCCCUGAGCCCCCUUUGGUGACAGUGCCACCCUCCCUGAGUCCCCUCGGGGACAGUGCCA
RNAcentral lists this long non-coding RNA (994 nucleotides) under Cyanistes caeruleus (blue tit). RNAcentral's name for it is "lncRNA (ENSCCEG00000001084.1)". Lineage: Eukaryota; Metazoa; Chordata; Aves; Passeriformes; Paridae. The record is from RNAcentral.